RNA transcript from Tribolium castaneum (red flour beetle), 2925 nucleotides. RefSeq lists it as uncharacterized. NCBI's taxonomy places the organism in Eukaryota, Metazoa, Arthropoda, Insecta, Coleoptera, Tenebrionidae. The transcript is spliced from 2 exons. The record is from RefSeq and is a predicted model, not a curated record.
GGAUUCAUUUCCACGUAUUUUAAUUUGGCCUCUCAUCGUAUAAAGUUUUGCAAUUAAUUGAAAAAGUUAAAUUAGACCGCCCAUGGGGGGGGGGGGAAAUUGGUUGAAACUUUCUGAAUGUCUAUCAAGAGUGGUUUUGGCCCAAAAAGUGGAAAAAUGUUGGCGAUCUCUUGCACAAUUGUGUAGAUAACGGGAGGUUCAUGUCCGUCACGUAUUGUGAGCUGUUGGACUGGUGUCUGGUGACAUAAGAGAGAGCAUAAAUCUCCGUGUAAAAUCAGUAAUGAGUAUAGCCAUGUGCAGGUCCGGCCCCACAAUGGGUUAAAUAAUUCCUUAACCAAGGCAUUUACGAGCGCCUUUUGUCGUGUAAUGCCUUAGCUACCGGUCCUAUUGUGUUUUUUGCUUUCCCUUUCAAAAUUUUCCUUUUACGGGGCCAUUUAUAACCCCUUCGGUGACAGAAGUUGAUCGUUGUCCGCUCCUACACCCCCGAAUAUUUAGUCCUUGCUGUAGGCCGUCAAGAUUUUAUUAAUGAUACGGCCACUGUCCACUUGGCGCCGGACAAAAGGCCCUCAAGAACACCUCGAUAAUUAUCGCUUAAACACCAUUUAAAAUUCUCGGAAACGUGAUGCAACUCAAGAGCUGCUCCGCAGAUGAAUACACUUGGAGAAAAAAUCUACAAGUGUGACGGCAACCAAGCGAAAUUCGUGCUCGGUUAAGCCUUUACGGGACGAAAUCUUUUAAGCCCCAAACACCGCUUUACAAAAUGGAUAAAGAAGUAUUGAUAUGUGAGCUGAGCGAACCCUUUCAAGAGGUGUCCGAUGGGACAUUCGAGUACAAUCGCCCGAGAACAACCAACCCCUUCACAAAAGAAACGCCUUCAAGCCCCUAACAAAAAAACCCAUUUAAACGAUAUUUUUUGCCGCGUCCGCGGGGGGCAGCACCUCACCAAACCAAAAAAAGCAAACUAUACGUGACCCAAUUACAAUUAAGCCGUAAUUUUGAGUGAUAAGUGCGUAACAAUCAAUUAGACACUAUUUGUGCCAAUUUCGUGUUAAGUACCCCCGGAAUUGAAAAUUUAGAUUUUGGAAAAAACCAGUCGGUAUGGUAGGUCGCACAAUUGCCAGAAAUUUCUAGGUUAGAAUACCCAGCAAAAAACCAGGCUAGAAUGGCAAAUUUGGGCUGAAUUGCCUUCCAACGUGUUUUUUUGAGCGGCCGAAGGCACCUAACGUGUGCCCCUAUCGUUUCUUUGCGCCCCAUUCGUAAAAAAACAGGAGCCGCAUAUUUUGUCCGUUGUACGAGCACAAGCCCCAAUGCGAGUAAAGCGUCCGAUGAGGAGCACCACUCAUUUACAUGCAAUCUUAAUUCCAACUGAAUUUAGUCUCAUAUUAAGGGAAUUUCUGGAAAUACUUUUAGAUUUGCAAAAAUCUGUCUUUGUUAGUUUUUUAUUUACGGUCGAAUUGAGAUAUUCUAUAGCAAAAUUACGAUUUCUCAUUUGAGUUACUUCUUUGAUAUUUUUUGGUAUAUUUAGUUUUUUAUCUUGAGUAAAAGAUUUGUAACUAUUUUUAAAUUGCUGGAGGUCAAAUUGUUGUCUUAUUUUUAAUGGUGUAUAAUAUUCUGCUACAAUUUUACUUUCUUUAGUAUUUGCCAUUUUUUAAUUUAUUUUAGAAAAUUUAUCUGAUUAUUAAUUAGGUACAUGACAACAAAAAAAUGCUUGUUUUUUACACCUGCUAGAGUAUAAGCCACCAAACUCACACCAUUUGUGGAGGUCAAUUUUUUCGAGACUAAUUUUAUACUCACAAAGAAAGUAUAAGACAUCUAUUCAGAGUUUGGGUAAAGAUUAACUUAUAAAGGUUAACUUACAAGGGUAUACCUGUUUAUUUUUUUCUGUUCCGUAUAAAAGAUUUAAAACUGUUUUUGAAUUGUUGGUGUGCUUGUUAACAGUGUGUAGUUAAUACUAUGGGUCAAUCUUGCUUGCUUUAUUUUUUACAAUUUAGUAAUGAAAAACAGGUAUUUUGAUAUGUCAUUUGAGUUGUCAAACGCCCUUCAUUUUAUCACUAGUGUUAAAAAAUAACAUUAUUUUAUAAUUAUUGUUUAAAAGUACAGUGGAAAAAAAUGAUUUUCAUCUAGUUGCUUGUGAGAUUUUUUCUCAUGGAAUGUUUCCUGUGCCGCUUCAUUGGGAUUUCUGUCAAUAAAUGUCAUCAAUCAAUAAAAUUGACAAUUACAAAUUAUUACAAUUUUCGGAACUGUAGUAACACACACUUUCCAUGUACAGUUUGUAAGAAAAUACCUACUGUCCUACAUUUUAGAGGCGUACAUCCGACCUGGACACAUAAGGUAAAUCGAGAAUGGCAAUAUUCAAUUCUUUUUGGUUAGAGUACUGCCGUCCUUAUUUGCGUAUAGCGGGACUACGUAUUUUUACAUCAGUAAUCCAAACGAGACUUGAUGAAAAUCAUUUUUUUUCCACUCUGUAGAAUAUCAUUAAUAUAUUCAAGGAAUCAAAUUUAUUAUAUCCUCUUGGAGAAACAUCCGUUUUUAUAAGCAGACUCGUAUAAUUUCUUUGAUUUUAAGAAUCUUCAGAAUUACUCAUAUCAAAAUGGUUGCUUUUCGUGACUGAUUCGUAAAAAAUACUAGUAUGCAAUACGUUGCAAAAUGCCUUUGUUUUUUGCAGCUUAUUGCAUAAAGAGCUUAGAGCUAUUACAAAUUCUAUUUUGAAUUUUGUCAUUAAUCCAUUGACUUACAAUGUCCGUAAAAGGUGCAUAUUGUACAUACUCAAACUUAUGUAAAUAUUGCAUAAAUUAUAAGUUAAAGGGUUAAUUCAAAAUUCAACGUUUGUUAAACUCACUCAAGGUUUGUCUAUCAUGCUUCCCAUUUCUUUGUAGUAUUUUUCGAUUUAUUGUGCAAACAUUAAUUCGUGGUUUUCAUUCAUUG